AACGAACGCUGGCGGCAUGCCUAACACAUGCAAGUCGAACGAAGUCUUCGGACUUAGUGGCGCACGGGUGCGUAACGCGUGGGAAUCUGCCCUUGGGUGCGGAAUAACUUCUCGAAAGGGAUGCUAAUACCGCAUAAUGUCGUAAGACCAAAGAUUUAUCGCCCAAGGAUGAGCCCGCGUAAGAUUAGCUAGUUGGUGGGGUAAAAGCCUACCAAGGCGACGAUCUUUAGCUGGUCUGAGAGGAUGAUCAGCCACACUGGGACUGAGACACGGCCCAGACUCCUACGGGAGGCGGCAGUGGGGAAUAUUGGACAAUGGGCGAAAGCCUGAUCCAGCAAUGCCGCGUGAGUGAUGAAGGCCCUAGGGUUGUAAAGCUCUUUUACCAGGGAUGAUAAUGACAGUACCUGGAGAAUAAGCUCCGGCUAACUCCGUGCCAGCAGCCGCGGUAAU
RNAcentral lists this ribosomal RNA (450 nucleotides) under uncultured bacterium. Its description in RNAcentral is "bacterial SSU rRNA". It matches the Rfam family "Bacterial small subunit ribosomal RNA", at positions 29 to 524 of the family's 1533-position model. The record is from RNAcentral.